UACAGAGACUGCAAGCGUUAUUCGGAUUCAUUGGGCGUAAAGGGCGCGUAGGCGGCGGGGUAAGUCUGGUGUGAAAUCUCGGAGCUCAACUCCGAAAUUGCACUGGAUACUGCUCUGCUAGAGGGCUGGAGAGGAGAUCGGAAUUCACGGUGUAGCAGUGAAAUGCGUAGAUAUCGUGAGGAAGACCAGUGGCGAAGGCGGAUCUCUGGACAGCUCCUGACGCUGAGGCGCGAAGGCUAGGGGAGCAAACGGG
RNAcentral lists this ribosomal RNA (253 nucleotides) under uncultured bacterium. Its description in RNAcentral is "partial 16S ribosomal RNA". It matches the Rfam family "Bacterial small subunit ribosomal RNA", at positions 524 to 776 of the family's 1533-position model. The record is from RNAcentral.